CCUACGGGUGGCAGCAGUGGGGAAUAUUGCGCAAUGGGCGAAAGCCUGACGCAGCGACGCCGCGUGAGGGAUGAAGGUCUUCGGAUCGUAAACCUCUGUCAGCAGGGAAGAACGGUCACUGUGCUAAUCAGCAGUGAAUUGACGGUACCUGCAAAGGAAGCACCGGCUAACUUCGUGCCAGCAGCCGCGGUAAUACGGGGGGUGCGAGCGUUAGUCGGAAUUACUGGGCGUAAAGCGCUCGUAGGCGGUAUGUCAAGUCAAGGGUGAAAUCCCCGCGCUCAACGUGGGAACUGCCUUUGAAACUGGCAACCUGGAGUGUACGAGAGGAUGGUGGAAUUCCAGGUGUAGGAGUGAAAUCCGUAGAUAUCUGGAGGAACAUCGGUGGCGAAGGCGACUGUCUGGCACAUAACUGACGCUGAGGAGCGAAAGCGUGGGUAGCAAACAGGAUUAGAUACCCCAGUAGUC
This 465-nucleotide ribosomal RNA is filed under the name uncultured bacterium. Its description in RNAcentral is "partial 16S ribosomal RNA". It matches the Rfam family "Bacterial small subunit ribosomal RNA", at positions 338 to 795 of the family's 1533-position model. The record is from RNAcentral.